Molecule: ribosomal RNA, 474 nt
Filed under: uncultured Thiobacillus sp.
Lineage: Bacteria; Pseudomonadati; Pseudomonadota; Betaproteobacteria; Nitrosomonadales; Thiobacillaceae
Description: bacterial SSU rRNA
Rfam family: Bacterial small subunit ribosomal RNA
Source: RNAcentral
GGUAAAUUGACGGGGACCCGCACAAGCGGUGGAUGAUGUGGAUUAAUUCGAUGCAACGCGAAGAACCUUACUACCCUUGACAUGUCCGGAACUUGCCAGAGAUGGCUUGGUGCCCGAAAGGGAAUCGGAACACAGGGUGCUGCAUGGCUGUCGUCAGCUCGUGUCGUGAGAUGUUGGGUUAAGUCCCGCAACGAGCGCAACCCUUAUCAUUAGUUGCUACGCAAGGGCACUCUAAUGAGACUGCCGGUGACAAACCGGAGGAAGGUGGGGAUGACGUCAAGUCCUCAUGGCCCUUAUGGGUAGGGCUUCACACGUCAUACAAUGGUCGGUACAGAGGGUUGCCAAGCCGCGAGGCGGAGCCAAUCCCACAAAGCCGAUCGUAGUCCGGAUUGUUCUCUGCAACUCGAGAGCAUGAAGUCGGAAUCGCUAGUAAUCGCAGGUCAGCAUACUGCGGUGAAUACGUUCCCGGGUCUU